UGCCGGCUUAGCUCAGUUGGUAGAGCAACUGAAUCGUAAUCAGUGGGUCGAGGGUUCAAUUCCUUUAGCCGGCAU
Molecule: transfer RNA, 75 nt
Filed under: Marinilactibacillus psychrotolerans
Lineage: Bacteria; Bacillati; Bacillota; Bacilli; Lactobacillales; Carnobacteriaceae
Description: tRNA-Thr
Rfam family: tRNA
About the family: Transfer RNA (tRNA) molecules are approximately 80 nucleotides in length. Their secondary structure includes four short double-helical elements and three loops (D, anti-codon, and T loops). Further hydrogen bonds mediate the characteristic L-shaped molecular structure. tRNAs have two regions of fundamental functional importance: the anti-codon, which is responsible for specific mRNA codon recognition, and the 3' end, to which the tRNAs corresponding amino acid is attached (by aminoacyl-tRNA synthetases). tRNAs cope with the degeneracy of the genetic code in two manners: having more than one tRNA (with a specific anti-codon) for a particular amino acid; and 'wobble' base-pairing, i.e. permitting non-standard base-pairing at the 3rd anti-codon position.
Source: RNAcentral